CCUACGGGGCGCAGCAGGCGCGAAAACUUUACAAUGCGGGAAACCGUGAUAAGGGGACACCGAGUGCCAGCAUCAUAUGCUGGCUGUCCAGGUGUGUAAAAUACACCUGUUAGCAAGGGCCGGGCAAGACCGGUGCCAGCCGCCGCGGUAACACCGGCGGCCCGAGUGGUGAUCGUGAUUAUUGGGUCUAAAGGGUCCGUAGCCGGUUUGGUCAGUCCUCCGGGAAAUCUGAUAGCUCAACUAUUAGGCUUUCGGGGGAUACUGCCAGACUUGGAACCGGGAGAGGUAAGAGGUACUACAGGGGUAGGAGUGAAAUCUUGUAAUCCCUGUGGGACCACCUGUGGCGAAGGCGUCUUACCAGAACGGGUUCGACGGUGAGGGACGAAAGCUGGGGGCACGAACCGGAUUAGAUACCCGGGUAGUCCCAGCCGUAAACGAUGCUCGCUAGGUGUCAGGCAUGGCGCGACCGUGUCUGGUGCCGCAGGGAAGCCGUGAAGCGAGCCACCUGGGAAGUACGGCCGCAAGGCUGAAACUUAAAGGAAUUGGCGGGGGAGCACAACAACGGGUGGAGCCUGCGGUUUAAUUGGACUCAACGCCGGACAACUCACCGGGGACGACAGCAAAAUGUAGGCCAGGCUGAAGACCUUGCCUGAAUCGCUGAGAGGAGGUGCAUGGCCGUCGCCAGUUCGUACUGUGAAGCAUCCUGUUAAGUCAGGCAACGAGCGAGACCCGUGCCCACUGUUACCAGCAUGUCCUCCGGGACGAUGGGUACUCUGUGGGGACCGCCGGUGUUAAAUCGGAGGAAGGUGCGGGCCACGGUAGGUCAGUAUGCCCCGAAUUUCCCGGGCUACACGCGGGCUACAAUGGAUGGGACAAUGGGUCCCUCCCCCGAAAGGGGCUGGUAAUCUCACAAACCCAUUCGUAGUUCGGAUCGAGGGCUGUAACUCGCCCUCGUGAAGCUGGAAUCCGUAGUAAUCGCGUUUCAAUAUAGCGCGGUGAAUACGUCCCUGCUCCUUGCACACACCGC
This 1027-nucleotide ribosomal RNA is filed under the name Methanosarcina sp. JM-1. Its description in RNAcentral is "bacterial SSU rRNA". It matches the Rfam family "Archaeal small subunit ribosomal RNA", at positions 322 to 1349 of the family's 1478-position model. Lineage: Archaea; Methanobacteriati; Methanobacteriota; Methanomicrobia; Methanosarcinales; Methanosarcinaceae. The record is from RNAcentral.